UGGGGAAUAUUGCACAAUGGGGGAAACCCUGAUGCAGCGACGCCGCGUGAGGGAAGAAGGUUUUCGGAUUGUAAACCUCUGUCUUUGGUGAAGAUAAUGACGGUAACCAAAGAGGAAGCCACGGCUAACUACGUGCCAGCAGCCGCGGUAAUACGUAGGUGGCAAGCGUUGUCCGGAAUUACUGGGUGUAAAGGGAGCGUAGGCGGGAAUGUAAGUUAGGUGUUAAAUCUAUCGGCUCAACCGGUAGCCGCACUUAAAACUGCAUUUCUUGAGUGGAGUAGAGGCAAGCGGAAUUCCCGGUGUAGCGGUGGAAUGCGUAGAUAUCGGGAGGAACACCAGUGGCGAAGGCGGCUUGCUGGGCUCUAACUGACGCUGAGGCUCGAAAGCGUGGGUAGCAAACA
Molecule: ribosomal RNA, 401 nt
Rfam family: Bacterial small subunit ribosomal RNA